UCACACAAGGAACCCAAAUUAAUCGUACGCGGCGUAAAGAGUGGACCCAUGAUUAUCACAGUAAUUAAGGCUAAAGCGUAACUGAGCUGUCAUAAGCUUAAGAUACACUUAAAAUCACCCUAAAAACGACCUUAACUCUUAUGAUCAAUUAAAUUCCACGAAAGCUAAGACACAAACUGGGAUUAGAUACCCCACUAUGCUUAGCCCUAAAUCUUGAUGCUUGCCCUACUAAAGCAUCCGCCUGAGAACUACGAGCACAAACGCUUAAAACUCUAAGGACUUGGCGGUGCCCCAAACCCACCUAGAGGAGCCUGUUCUGUAAUCGACAACCCACGAUACACCUGACCACUUCUUGCCAUAAACAGCCUACAUACCGCCGUCGCCAGCUCACCUUCACUGAGAGCACAACAGUGAGCACAAUCGCCCUAACCCCGCUAGUACGACAGGUCAAGGUAUAGCCUAUGAAGUGGAAGAAAUGGGCUACAUUUUCUAACUUAGAAAACCCUCACACAACGAAAAGGAGUAUGAAACAACUCCCAGAAGGCGGAUUUAGCAGUAAAGUGGGAUAAUAAAGCCCCCUUAAAACUGGCUCUGGGGCACGUACAUACCGCCCGUCACCCUCCUCACAAGCAUUAACCCCCCAUAAAUAAUACACCCACUCGCCAAAGAUGAGGUAAGUCGUAACAAGGUAAGUGUACCGG
This 701-nucleotide ribosomal RNA is filed under the name Henicophaps albifrons. Its description in RNAcentral is "partial 12S ribosomal RNA". It matches the Rfam family "Bacterial small subunit ribosomal RNA", at positions 521 to 1508 of the family's 1533-position model. Lineage: Eukaryota; Metazoa; Chordata; Aves; Columbiformes; Columbidae. The record is from RNAcentral.